This 1083-nucleotide ribosomal RNA is filed under the name Leuconostoc mesenteroides. RNAcentral's name for it is "bacterial SSU rRNA". It matches the Rfam family "Bacterial small subunit ribosomal RNA", at positions 62 to 1129 of the family's 1533-position model. The record is from RNAcentral. Lineage: Bacteria; Bacillati; Bacillota; Bacilli; Lactobacillales; Lactobacillaceae.
ACAGGCGGAAGGGGGUGCUUGCACCUUUCAAGUGAGUGGCGAACGGGUGAGUAACACGUGGACAACCUGCCUCAAGGCUGGGGAUAACAUUUGGAAACAGAUGCUAAUACCGAAUAAAACUUAGUGUCGCAUGACACAAAGUUAAAAGGCGCUUCGGCGUCACCUAGAGAUGGAUCCGCGGUGCAUUAGUUAGUUGGUGGGGUAAAGGCCUACCAAGACAAUGAUGCAUAGCCGAGUUGAGAGACUGAUCGGCCACAUUGGGACUGAGACACGGCCCAAACUCCUACGGGAGGCUGCAGUAGGGAAUCUUCCACAAUGGGCGAAAGCCUGAUGGAGCAACGCCGCGUGUGUGAUGAAGGCUUUCGGGUCGUAAAGCACUGUUGUAUGGGAAGAACAGCUAGAAUAGGAAAUGAUUUUAGUUUGACGGUACCAUACCAGAAAGGGACGGCUAAAUACGUGCCAGCAGCCGCGGUAAUACGUAUGUCCCGAGCGUUAUCCGGAUUUAUUGGGCGUAAAGCGAGCGCAGACGGUUUAUUAAGUCUGAUGUGAAAGCCCGGAGCUCAACUCCGGAAUGGCAUUGGAAACUGGUUAACUUGAGUGCAGUAGAGGUAAGUGGAACUCCAUGUGUAGCGGUGGAAUGCGUAGAUAUAUGGAAGAACACCAGUGGCGAAGGCGGCUUACUGGACUGCAACUGACGUUGAGGCUCGAAAGUGUGGGUAGCAAACAGGAUUAGAUACCCUGGUAGUCCACACCGUAAACGAUGAACACUAGGUGUUAGGAGGUUUCCGCCUCUUAGUGCCGAAGCUAACGCAUUAAGUGUUCCGCCUGGGGAGUACGACCGCAAGGUUGAAACUCAAAGGAAUUGACGGGGACCCGCACAAGCGGUGGAGCAUGUGGUUUAAUUCGAAGCAACGCGAAGAACCUUACCAGGUCUUGACAUCCUUUGAAGCUUUUAGAGAUAGAAGUGUUCUCUUCGGAGACAAAGUGACAGGUGGUGCAUGGUCGUCGUCAGCUCGUGUCGUGAGAUGUUGGGUUAAGUCCCGCAACGAGCGCAACCCUUAUUGUUAGUUGCCAGCAUUCAAA